UACAGAGGGUGCAAGCGUUGUCCGGAAUCACUGGGCGUAAAGGGCGCGUAGGCGGCUCGGUAAGUAGGGGGUGAAAUCUCAUGGCUCAACUGUGAGGCUGCCUUCUAGACUGCCGGGCUUGAGCACAGUAGAGGCUGGUGGAAUUCCCGGUGUAGCGGUGGAAUGCGUAGAGAUCGGGAAGAACAUCUGUGGCGAAGGCGGCCAGCUGGGCUGUUGCUGACGCUGAUGCGCGACAGCGUGGGGAGCAAACAGG
RNAcentral lists this ribosomal RNA (253 nucleotides) under uncultured bacterium. RNAcentral's name for it is "partial 16S ribosomal RNA". It matches the Rfam family "Bacterial small subunit ribosomal RNA", at positions 524 to 776 of the family's 1533-position model. The record is from RNAcentral.